GUUCGCCGCUCAACUUGGUGACUCUGAAUAACUUUCGGCUGAUCGCACGGUCUCGCACCGGCGACGCAUCUUUCAAAUGUCUGCCUUAUCAACUGUCGAUGGUAGGUUCUGCGCCUACCAUGGUCGUAACGGGUAACGGGGAAUCAGGGUUCGAUUCCGGAGAGGGAGCCUGAGAAACGGCUACCACAUCCAAGGAAGGCAGCAGGCGCGCAAAUUACCCACUCCCGGCACGGGGAGGUAGUGACGAAAAAUAACGAUACGGGACUCAUCCGAGGCCCCGUAAUCGGAAUGAGUACACUUUAAAUCCUUUAACGAGGACCAAUUGGAGGGCAAGUCUGGUGCCAGCAGCCGCGGUAAUUCCAGCUCCAAUAGCGUA
This 376-nucleotide ribosomal RNA is filed under the name Ilybius minakawai. Its description in RNAcentral is "SSU rRNA". It matches the Rfam family "Eukaryotic small subunit ribosomal RNA", at positions 231 to 601 of the family's 1831-position model. Lineage: Eukaryota; Metazoa; Arthropoda; Insecta; Coleoptera; Dytiscidae. The record is from RNAcentral.